This 465-nucleotide ribosomal RNA is filed under the name uncultured bacterium. Its description in RNAcentral is "partial 16S ribosomal RNA". It matches the Rfam family "Bacterial small subunit ribosomal RNA", at positions 28 to 507 of the family's 1533-position model. The record is from RNAcentral.
GACGAACGCUGGCGGCGUGCUUAACACAUGCAAGUCGAACGGAAAGGCCCUGCUUGCAGGGUACUCGAGUGGCGAACGGGUGAGUAACACGUGGGUGAUCUGCCCUGCACUUCGGGAUAAGCCUGGUAAACUGGGUCUAAUACCGGAUAGGAGCCAUUUUUAGUGUGAUGGUUGGAAAGUUUUUUCGGUGUAGGAUGAGCUCGCUGCCUAUCAGCUUGUUGGUUGGGUAAUGGCCUACCAAGGCGGCGACGGGUAGCCGGCCUGAGAGGGUGGCCGGCCACAUUGGGACUGAGAGACGGCCCAGACUCCUACGGGAGGCAGAAGUGGGGAAUAUUGCACAAUGGGCGCAAGCCUGAUGAAGCGGCGCCGCGUGGGGGAUGACGGCCUUCGGGUUGUAAACUCAUUUCGCUAGGGACGAAGCUUUUUGUGACGGUACCUAGAUAAGAAGCACCGGCUAACUACGUG